RNAcentral lists this ribosomal RNA (446 nucleotides) under uncultured bacterium. Its description in RNAcentral is "partial 16S ribosomal RNA". It matches the Rfam family "Bacterial small subunit ribosomal RNA", at positions 329 to 792 of the family's 1533-position model. The record is from RNAcentral.
GGCCAGACUCCUACGGGAGGCAGCAGUGGGGAAUAUUGCACAAUGGGGGAAACCCUGAUGCAGCAACGCCGCGUGAGUGAAGAAGUCAUUCGUGAUGUAAAGCUCUAUCAGCAGGGAAGAAAAUGACGGUACCUGAGUAAGAAGCCCCGGCUAACUACGUGCCAGCAGCCGCGGUAAUACGUAGGGGGCAAGCGUUAUCCGGAUUUACUGGGUGUAAAGGGAGCGUAGGCGGCCACGCAAGUCAGAAGUGAAAACCCGGGGCUCAACCCUGGGAGUGCUUUUGAAACUGUGCGGCUAGAGUGUCGGAGGGGUAAGUGGAAUUCCUAGUGUAGCGGUGAAAUGCGUAGAUAUUAGGAGGAACACCAGUGGCGAAGGCGGCUUACUGGACGAUGACUGACGCUGAGGCUCGAAAGCGUGGGGAGCAAACAGGAUUAGAUACCCCUGUA